AGCGAACGCUGGCGGCAGGCCUAACACAUGCAAGUCGAACGCACCGCAAGGUGAGUGGCAGACGGGUGAGUAACGCGUGGGAACGUGCCCUUCGGUUCGGAAUAACCCGGGGAAACUCGGGCUAAUACCGGAUACGUCCGUAAGGAGAAAGAUUUAUCGCCGAAGGAUCGGCCCGCGUCGGAUUAGCUAGUUGGUGAGGUAACGGCUCACCAAGGCGAUGAUCCGUAGCUGGUCUGAGAGGACGAUCAGCCACACUGGGACUGAGACACGGCCCAGACUCCUACGGGAGGCAGCAGUGGGGAAUAUUGGACAAUGGGCGCAAGCCUGAUCCAGUCAUGCCGCGUGAGUGAUGAAGGCCUUAGGGUUGUAAAGCUCUUUUAAUCGUGAAGAUAAUGACGGUAGCGAUAGAAAAAGCUCCGGCUAAAUUCGUGCCAGCCGCCGCAGUAA
RNAcentral lists this ribosomal RNA (447 nucleotides) under uncultured bacterium. RNAcentral describes it as "partial 16S ribosomal RNA". It matches the Rfam family "Bacterial small subunit ribosomal RNA", at positions 29 to 523 of the family's 1533-position model. The record is from RNAcentral.